GUUCCACAGGAAGACUCCUUAGUGAGAUCAUGUAAGGUGGCCACAUCACAGGUGCCUGGGACUGCAGGCUCUGCUGGAUCUGUCUGCAAGAAUUCCUCAGCCCAGCCCUGGGUCCAUUAGAAUAACCCACUGUGUGUCAGCUUUGAUAGACCUUACCCGGGAACAGUCAUAAAGACAGAAGGGCAGCAAGCUCCUGCUUCAUACCCCAGUAACCCACAGCCUCCCUCUGUGCACAUGACUCCCACAGAUGCAGUAAAACCUGAUUUAAGUGCCAGCAGAGAGAGACUGCUUGAAAGGGAGCUUGGCACCAUGUUUCUUGGCCUCUCCAAAUCCGGUUUACGAUAGAUACCACAAAUACAUAGAUGAAAUGCUUCCAUCUGAAAGCCCUGUACUAUAUGGACUGCACCCCAGUGCUGAGAUGGGAUUCUUGUCAACAUCAGAUAAUCUCUUCAAAAUUCCUUUGGAAAAGCAACCCAUAUAUACGUGGGAGAGGGAUCAGGCCAAUCUGCAGUGAAGAGGGGGAGCUGAUGUUUUUUGCUCACAUGGAAAUGCCACAUUAUACACAAUAUACACUCUUCUGUGAUGUUGUGCCAGACACAUGGACUAAACCAGCGUAUGCACCCACACACAACUUUGUCCACUGGUAAGUACCCCACAGUGAGAGGAUUAAGCUACUAUGCAGAGCUAAUCCAGUGUUUUAAGCCCAGCAGCCUUGUUCCAUUCUUAUUUCUUCCAACUUUUGUCCUAAUGAAAGUCAGCUUUCCCUUGAAGUGGGUUUUGUAGAAACACCAAACACUUUGCUAAGGCAAAGGCUCUGUUACCUCCCUUUGUCCCAAGCACCAGCAUGUUCAGCAUCUUGUGGGAUUCCUUUCUGUUAGCCUGCCACCAGCAGUGGUUAGGCAUGGAUUAAACAGGCAUUGUUUCUGGAAAUUCUUUUGAUACCUCAUGGAAAUGUAUGGUGCAUUAUGCCACUAUUCAGAACCUCUGUAAGAGUCCCUUAUGUUCCUGAUUUGCACUUUGCUCUUGCUUAUUGGAAGUUUAAUUAUGAAGUUUAAAUACCAAUGAAGAUGGUAUCAGACAAUUUGCAUUUAAGAAGGCAUCUGCUGUUAGCAAAGCUGUUAACUUCUCAUGGUGAUGUUCAGGUUUCUCCCCAAGACAGCAGAUUUAACAGGAUUGACCAUACUCAUAUUCUCUGCUGCCAGCAACCCAUCCCAUGCUGAUCACCUUCUGCAACUCAUUUCAGACAUACUUAAUGAGGGAAACAACAAAUUCCACUGAAACUAUCACCUUAGACUUACAUAAGCUUAUACUUUCUGGUGACUUCAGCCAUGUACUUUCUCUGUAGACAAAAGGACUCUUUACACUUGAAAGUUUUUUGUUUGUUUGUUUAAAAAGCAGUUUACAUACAGUUAAGAGCUAUGGAUGCUUCUCUUUUAGGGUUACUAAAUGAUUUCACUAAAUGAUUUUACUCAUGAUUUUCUCAUGAGGUGCCAAGAACUUGACAUCUGGACACAGGACAUUGUGCUGCCAGCAGUGAGGCUUUCUGGCUUGUUCCAUCCCCAGUGCUUUCUGACAGGUCAGCAGUGAUGGGUGUAGGGCACCAUGCAUAUGGUUUCAAUGUCAGACAUUUCUCUUUAACUACUGGUUAUGUUUGUGAUGCUGUUUGGAGAGUUAAUCACAGCUUAAACAAAAAGAUUAAAAUCACCUUAACAUUGGAAUAAUCCUUUCCUGAAAGCAAGGGGAACAAUUCAAACUUGUCUUCAGACUACUCAGAAGUGUGAAGACAAAGCAGCUAAGGAAAUAAGAGCUUGAUUGUAUAGUUUAAAAGAGGUUUAAGAGUGCAACUUUUUCUACCAUUGUUAUUUAACUAAUUCAGUGCAUAUAUCCUGGUACCAUUCUGUUUUAUUCUAUAAAAGAGUUAUGAGGCAAAGGAGAAAAAUAAAUCAAGUCUCCCAAUCCUCUUUGUGCAGUUGUUGCCACAGUAGGGGACAGAAAACUUUCACCAGUGUAGUAAAUAAAGCACUACAUCUCAUUUCUUGUCACAAUCACAGAACACUAGCUGAGCUGGUUAGAGCUGCUAGGAACACCAAGGUUUGUGGGUUCAAUCUCCAUAUGGAUCAUUCAUUUAGGAGUAGGACUCCAUGAUUCUUGUUGGUCUCUUUCCUCAGAAUAUUCUGUGAAUGUAUGUUUGCAUUUAUUCUGAACAGCACAGGAGUGCUUGGUAACAGUGAAGCUCAAAUUCUGCAAGGUCACCAAUGGCAUUGAGCUAAAUGCCUCACUUGGCUAGCAGAAAUGUGGCCAGGAGCUCCUCACAGGACACUGGGCUGGGCUGCCAUAAUUCUCUGGAGAAGGGCAGACCUCACACAGUCUCAGGCUCGAGCGUGAUGGCCCAAGAGGUUGAAAGUUCUGACAUUAAAAUUACUGUCUGGAUAUAGAAUUACUGAAAGCACUUUUUUUUUUUUUAAACUGUAAUGCAGAGUAAGAACAACUGGCCUUUGGAUAAGGUGUGCUCAAUUGCAGAUGUAGCCAAAAACGCCAAGGAGGAGUGAGACCACCCAGCAAGGGAAGGAGCCUGUAUCUGUAUGCCUUCCAUGCAAGGUUCAAGAAUGAUACUUACUGGAUCAAGCAGAGCUGACUUCACAUCUUCACCGUAUCGAUUUCGAAGACAGGGUCCACAGAACUGCCCCCUGACUCCUCCACAGCCCUGCUUGCGACAGAUUGUCUUUGUAUCAGUUGUCUUCUGUCGACACUGGUGGCAAGUACUACC
Serinus canaria (Common canary) is the source of this 2767-nucleotide long non-coding RNA. RefSeq lists it as uncharacterized. Lineage: Eukaryota; Metazoa; Chordata; Aves; Passeriformes; Fringillidae. The transcript is spliced from 5 exons. The record is from RefSeq and is a predicted model, not a curated record.